Molecule: unclassified non-coding RNA, 356 nt
Filed under: soil metagenome
Description: partial contains 5.8S ribosomal RNA, internal transcribed spacer 2, and large subunit ribosomal RNA
Rfam family: 5.8S ribosomal RNA (bases 1-120)
Source: RNAcentral
GAUGAAGAACGUAGCGAAAUGCGAUAAGUAAUGUGAAUUGCAGAAUUCAGUGAAUCAUCGAAUCUUUGAACGCACAUUGCGCCCGCCAGUAUUCUGGCGGGCAUGCCUGUCCGAGCGUCAUUUCAACCCUCGAACCCCUCCGGGGGGUCGGCGUUGGGGAUCGGGAACCCCUAAGACGGGAUCCCGGCCCCGAAAUACAGUGGCGGUCUCGCCGCAGCCUCUCCUGCGCAGUAGUUUGCACAACUCGCACCGGGAGCGCGGCGCGUCCACGUCCGUAAAACACCCAACUUCUGAAAUGUUGACCUCGGAUCAGGUAGGAAAACCCGCUGAACUUAAGCAUAUCAAUAAGCGGAGGA